CCCGUUUCCCCGCGGUCGGUUGCGUCCUCUUGAGCGGAAGUUCACGAGUUUAAUGAAAUCGGAGAUCCGAGACCGCUAGAGAUCAUCCUCUGGUUGCACCCAGGUUCCCGGGAGGAACCGCAGAUGAACAAUUAACCUCUUUGAAGGCAUCACAAGCAUUUGUCAAAUGGGCACACCUCUGCAGCUCCAGGAUAGAAAGAAGUUAAAUGUCUCAGAGAUACCCUAGAUUACACAUGUUCAAGGCUGAACCAUAGUUCCCUCCAGCCCUGCUUCUCCUCCAGUGUUUCCUGUUGUAGCAAAUGGAUAAUUUACAGUCUCUGAUGAAGAGUCUUAGGGGACCUUCGUGAAAACUGGAGAUCCAGACAACGUUGCUGGCCUGGAACUCACAUGUAUGCCAGGCUGGUCUGAAUCUCCCAGUGAUCUUCCUAUCUCAGGCUCAUGAGUGCUGGGAUUAGAGUUGCAUAGAUAAGAAGAUGUGGUUACAGCUGACCGCUGACUUCAAGAUAUCUUGCUGCAAAAGGAAGGGUAUCAAGAAUAGAUUAUCUAAGGGGGCAGGAUGAUCAGGGAGAGGACUCUUAAGGCAACAAGACAUCUCUUCUGGGUUCUCAUUUUCUACCUGUAACACU
Long non-coding RNA from Chinchilla lanigera (long-tailed chinchilla), 626 nucleotides. RefSeq lists it as uncharacterized. The transcript is spliced from 5 exons. The record is from RefSeq and is a predicted model, not a curated record. NCBI's taxonomy places the organism in Eukaryota, Metazoa, Chordata, Mammalia, Rodentia, Chinchillidae.